GUUAGGGUUGUUGUUGCUGUAACUUAUCCCUUAUAACCUAAUAGGAAUAAAAUGGGAAAAUGAGCGGUGACAAUGAGAGAAAAAGAGAGAGAAAGGGGAGAAGGAGGUUGUCACACACGGCUUCACUCCAUGAACGAUGACAAUUGCCAUAAUGCGAGGAAGAAGAUUAAAGUGGGCUUCACCGUUGCUGGAAAUCGCCUCCGACAAUGGUGCGUGACGGUGUUUACCGUGAUUUGGUCAACGUAGUGGCUCAUCAAUGCAAUAAGAAAGCGAGGGAGAAGAUGAAAGCGAGCAUCAUCACCAUCGAAAAUAGUUUCCAGCAGCGACGCACAACAGCGUUCAUUAGAACCACUUUUUUGUUGCAUUGUUACGAAUUACUCAUUUUAUUCUUUAUUACUAUCUUCUUCCUAUUAGAAUUGAAUUUUUAUUUGCUAAAUUCUUUGCUGGGGUUUGGGAAUAAGGGUUUCAAUUCCAUGGUAAAAAGAUUCACUAAAAAAAAUUGUUUCAGUGAUUAGAAAUUGAUUUGCAUACCAAAUAAAAUUAGAGAGCGUAAUUAAUACGCAGAGUCAAUCGUGCACUACUUUAGCCUUUUCUUCUGCCUUUUGCUUGAGUUCUACUCCCUCUUGAUCAUUGUUGGUGCCAAGUUCAUGCUUUUGGAAGCAUAUAUUGUAGAAGUGCGAUCUUAGGGACAUGUUGGUGGUUAUGCCAGAGAAGCUCAACAAAGCUUGUUGGGGGAGAUUCAAGAGCAACAGUAAAAUGUAGAAUGACAGAGAUUUUGGGUACAAAGGAACAUAUUGUUUCCUUCUUUCCUUGUCUUUUUCUAAUUCUUUUUUAUUUAUUUAUGAUUAUUGUAUAUAUUUUUAUUUGAGUUUAAAUCUGGGUUGUAAAUUA
Non-coding RNA from Cajanus cajan (pigeon pea), 891 nucleotides. The record is from RefSeq and is a predicted model, not a curated record. NCBI's taxonomy places the organism in Eukaryota, Viridiplantae, Streptophyta, Magnoliopsida, Fabales, Fabaceae.